GCUUAGAUCCAGGCAAGGGAAGACAGAACCGUCUUUAACCAGAGAAGCAGAAACAGUUGUAGCACAGCUCAUAGAGAAAGUGUUGGAGCAUGGAGUAAAUUCAACUGCCUGGGUAGCGCGCCAGCUGGAGGAAGGCAGCAAUUGGAUAACUGGAUUUGUGUCAGGAAAAUGAGAGAGAGGAGGAAGGGAGUGAGAGAGACAGACAGAGGGAGGGAGAGAAAGAGAGAUUGAGCUUUCUUCUUCCUCCCUUCUAUUUGGCCUUGGAAUACCCUGCAGACAAAGAUGGACUUCCUUUAGCCGUGUCCUCUGGCCCAGGCUACCAUCACCCCCCAAAGCCCUGAGCUUGAAACUGGGGUCAAGGAAGCCUUCCACAUGAUCAAUCAGUUACCCAACCUCUUUCCCUGUUGUGGCUCUGCCCUCCUCUGGGGUCUUGGAGUUCUCACCAUAAACAGCAAUUGUCGCCACAAAUGAAGAAUGUUCACGUUUGUUUUACAACUUCUUAAUGCACCGCAUUCAGUCUUCCUGUAAACUUGACUGCUUAGUCCUUAAAGUAUAUUGGUGGAGCAAUGUCUGCAUGCCUUCGUCAACACAUCUAUUGGCCUGUUUGUCCCAGCAUCCCAGUUGGAAUGGGAACCCUUCUAAGAAAAGCCUUUAUCCUUUACUCACCUACAAACUCACUGGGCACCCCCGGAAUUGUGGUCCUGGGCGUAUAGCAGGUGUCUAGUCACUCUUUUCUGGUUGUGCCAGUAAUUGGGGCCUGAUUACAAUUCUGUUUCAUCCAGUGCACCUCAAUGGAGAGAAACCAGCAAGAAACUCAUGCUUUCUGCCCCAUCUCCUUCCUUUCUUCUGUGUGUAAAGUGGAGAAAAGGCUGGAGAGUGUGGUAAGAUAGGAAGAAACCAAGCAAAGCACACAUAAACAAACAAAUGAAUAA
RNAcentral lists this long non-coding RNA (932 nucleotides) under Homo sapiens (human). Its description in RNAcentral is "long intergenic non-protein coding RNA 1713". Lineage: Eukaryota; Metazoa; Chordata; Mammalia; Primates; Hominidae. The record is from RNAcentral.